RNAcentral lists this ribosomal RNA (468 nucleotides) under uncultured bacterium. RNAcentral's name for it is "partial 16S ribosomal RNA". It matches the Rfam family "Bacterial small subunit ribosomal RNA", at positions 28 to 523 of the family's 1533-position model. The record is from RNAcentral.
GAUGAACGCUGGCGGCGUGCCUAACACAUGCAAGUCGAGCGAUUCUCUUCGGAGAAUAGCGGCGGACGGGUGAGUAACGCGUGGGUAACCUGCCCUGUACACACGGAUAACAUACCGAAAGGUAUGCUAAUACGAGAUAAUAUGCUUUUCUCGCAUGGUAUAAGUAUCAAAGCUUUUGAGGUACAGGAUCGACCCGCGUCUGAUUAGCUAGUUAGUAAGGUAACGGCUUACCAAGGCGACGAUCAGUAGCCGACCUGAGAGGGUGAUCGGCCACAUUGGAACUGAGACAAGGUCCAAACUCCUACGGGAGGCAGCAGUGGGGAAUAUUGCACAAUGGGCGAAAGCCUGAUGCAGCAACGCCGCGUGAGCGAUGAAGGCCUUCGGGUCGUAAAGCUCUGUCCUCAAGGAAGAUAAUGACGGUACUUGAGGAGGAAGCCCCGGCUAACUACGUGCCAGCCGCCGCGGUAA